This 166-nucleotide ribosomal RNA is filed under the name Melasma scabrum. RNAcentral's name for it is "5.8S ribosomal RNA". It matches the Rfam family "5.8S ribosomal RNA". From Rfam's summary of the family: 5.8S ribosomal RNA (5.8S rRNA) is a component of the large subunit of the eukaryotic ribosome. It is transcribed by RNA polymerase I as part of the 45S precursor that also contains 18S and 28S rRNA. Lineage: Eukaryota; Viridiplantae; Streptophyta; Magnoliopsida; Lamiales; Orobanchaceae. The record is from RNAcentral.
CUAAACGACUCUCGGCAACGGAUAUCUCGGCUCUCGCAACGAUGAAGAACGUAGCGAAAUGCGAUACUUGGUGUGAAUUGCAGAAUCCCGUGAACCAUCGAGUUUUUGAACGCAAGUUGCGCCCAAAGCCUCUUGGCCGAGGGCACGCCUGCCUGGGCGUCACGCA